UACGUAUGGUGCAAGCGUUAUCCGGAUUUACUGGGUUUAAAGGGUGCGCAGGCGGCGUGUCAAGUCAGCGGUAAAAUGUCGGGGCUCAACCCCGGCCGGCCGUUGAAACUGGCGUGCUCGAGUUGGAGAGAAGUAUGCGGAACUCGUGGUGUAGCGGUGAAAUGCAUAGAUAUCACGAAGAACCCCGAUUGCGAAGGCAGCAUACCGGCUCCACACUGACGCUGAGGCACGAAAGCGUGGGUAUCGAACAGG
RNAcentral lists this ribosomal RNA (252 nucleotides) under uncultured bacterium. RNAcentral's name for it is "partial 16S ribosomal RNA". It matches the Rfam family "Bacterial small subunit ribosomal RNA", at positions 524 to 776 of the family's 1533-position model. The record is from RNAcentral.